AUUUAAAGUGAGGGAACGGAGCCUUUUCCGAUACGGAGCCCGAUCACACGGAGAGGAUCAGAGUGCCACGGUAAUUAGAAACAGCCUGUAAUCAAUAGCUGAGUUUCCCACUGUGCUGAGCUCCUCAAAAGCAGGAUUGCAAAUGAUGUGGUACCUCGAGUGAUAAAUAUUUCAGAGAGGAUAUCGAGCUCUGUAGUUCAGCUGGCCUGCCAAAAAUCAAGGUUUCCUCUGUCUGUUGCCCUUUGUGAACGUGUGUUGCUGUGUGCAGUGAAAUGCAGGGUAAAUUCCUGUGCCAGCACAGCCACCUCAUAACCCAGCUGUGCCAGAGCAUCACCACUGCUCCUGCCUCUGCUCCAACAACCCUGCCAUGGCAUGAAGAGACUCAAACAGCAUUUUGCCUGCCCCAGGUAUGUGACGACACAACAGAGUUUUCAGGAAAACAGCUCAUACACCCCUAAAACAGCAGAGCAGGGGACUACAGACCUCACAGACACACUUAUUUGAUCACAGAUAGGAAGAUGGUGCGUGACAGUAAUUAAAUUUUUCCUCUCAACUAAUUUAAUUUGUUAGCCAAAUAGGGAGAAAGGGUUUAUUGG
This 596-nucleotide long non-coding RNA is filed under the name Manacus vitellinus (golden-collared manakin). Its description in RNAcentral is "lncRNA (ENSMVIG00005013321.1)". The record is from RNAcentral. Lineage: Eukaryota; Metazoa; Chordata; Aves; Passeriformes; Pipridae.